CUUUUAGUAUAAGUAUAUCCCAGGGAAUAUUUGGGAUAUACUUAUACUAAAA
Ailuropoda melanoleuca (giant panda) is the source of this 52-nucleotide non-coding RNA. The record is from Rfam. Lineage: Eukaryota; Metazoa; Chordata; Mammalia; Carnivora; Ursidae.